RNAcentral lists this ribosomal RNA (253 nucleotides) under uncultured bacterium. RNAcentral's name for it is "partial 16S ribosomal RNA". It matches the Rfam family "Bacterial small subunit ribosomal RNA", at positions 524 to 776 of the family's 1533-position model. The record is from RNAcentral.
UACGUAGGGCGCAAGCGUUGUCCGGAAUUAUUGGGCGUAAAGAGCUCGUAGGCGGCUUGUCACGUCGGUUGUGAAAGCCCGGGGCUUAACCCCGGGUCUGCAGUCGAUACGGGCAGGCUAGAGUUCGGUAGGGGAGAUCGGAAUUCCUGGUGUAGCGGUGAAAUGCGCAGAUAUCAGGAGGAACACCGGUGGCGAAGGCGGAUCUCUGGGCAUCUCCUGACGCUGAGGCGCGAAAGCGUGGGGAGCAAACAGG